RNAcentral lists this ribosomal RNA (2528 nucleotides) under Salmonella enterica subsp. enterica. Its description in RNAcentral is "bacterial LSU rRNA". It matches the Rfam family "Bacterial large subunit ribosomal RNA". The record is from RNAcentral. Lineage: Bacteria; Pseudomonadati; Pseudomonadota; Gammaproteobacteria; Enterobacterales; Enterobacteriaceae.
GACUAAGCGUACACGGUGGAUGCCCUGGCAGUCAGAGGCGAUGAAGGGCGUGCUAAUCUGCGAUAAGCGCCGGUAAGGUGAUAUGAACCGUUAUAACCGGCGAUACCCGAAUGGGGAAACCCAGUGUGACUCGUCACACUAUCAUUAACUGAAUCCAUAGGUUAAUGAGGCGAACCGGGGGAACUGAAACAUCUAAGUACCCCGAGGAAAAGAAAUCAACCGAGAUUCCCCCAGUAGCGGCGAGCGAACGGGGAGGAGCCCAGAGCCUGAAUCAGCAUGUGUGUUAGUGGAAGCGUCUGGAAAGGCGCGCGAUACAGGGUGACAGCCCCGUACACAAAAGCGCAUGUGCUGUGAGCUCGAUGAGUAGGGCGGGACACGUGGUAUCCUGUCUGAAUAUGGGGGGACCAUCCUCCAAGGCUAAAUACUCCUGACUGACCGAUAGUGAACCAGUACCGUGAGGGAAAGGCGAAAAGAACCCCGGCGAGGGGAGUGAAAAAGAACCUGAAACCGUGUACGUACAAGCAGUGGGAGCCAGCCUUUAAGUUGCAGGGUAUAGACCCGAAACCCGGUGAUCUAGCCAUGGGCAGGUUGAAGGUUGGGUAACACUAACUGGAGGACCGAACCGACUAAUGUUGAAAAAUUAGCGGAUGACCUGUGGCUGGGGGUGAAAGGCCAAUCAAACCGGGAGAUAGCUGGUUCUCCCCGAAAGCUAUUUAGGUAGCGCCUCGUGAAUUCAUCUCCGGGGGUAGAGCACUGUUUCGGCUAGGGGGCCAUCCCGGCUUACCAACCCGAUGCAAACUGCGAAUACCGGAGAAUGUUAUCACGGGAGACACACGGCGGGUGCUAACGUCCGUCGUGAAGAGGGAAACAACCCAGACCGCCAGCUAAGGUCCCAAAGUCAUGGUUAAGUGGGAAACGAUGUGGGAAGGCCCAGACAGCCAGGAUGUUGGCUUAGAAGCAGCCAUCAUUUAAAGAAAGCGUAAUAGCUCACUGGUCGAGUCGGCCUGCGCGGAAGAUGUAACGGGGCUAAACCAUGCACCGAAGGUGCGUCUGAGGCAUGCUGGAGGUAUCAGAAGUGCGAAUGCUGACAUAAGUAACGAUAAAGCGGGUGAAAAGCCCGCUCGCCGGAAGACCAAGGGUUCCUGUCCAACGUUAAUCGGGGCAGGGUGAGUCGACCCCUAAGGCGAGGCCGAAAGGCGUAGUCGAUGGGAAACGGGUUAAUAUUCCCGUACUUGGUGUUACUGCGAAGGGGGGACGGAGAAGGCUAUGUUGGCCGGGCGACGGUUGUCCCGGUUUAAGCGUGUAGGUGUGUGUUCCAGGUAAAUCCGGUUCACUUUAACACUGAGGCGUGAACGCGGAGACGUAGGGGAAGUGAUUUACUCAUGGAGCUGAAGUCAGUCGAAGAUACCAGCUGGCUGCAACUGUUUAUUAAAAACACAGCACUGUGCAAACACGAAAGUGGACGUAUACGGUGUGACGCCUGCCCGGUGCCGGAAGGUUAAUUGAUGGGGUCAGCGCAAGCGAAGCUCCUGAUCGAAGCCCCGGUAAACGGCGGCCGUAACUAUAACGGUCCUAAGGUAGCGAAAUUCCUUGUCGGGUAAGUUCCGACCUGCACGAAUGGCGUAAUGAUGGCCAGGCUGUCUCCACCCGAGACUCAGUGAAAUUGAACUCGCUGUGAAGAUGCAGUGUACCCGCGGCAAGACGGAAAGACCCCGUGAACCUUUACUAUAGCUUGACACUGAACAUUGAGCCUUGAUGUGUAGGAUAGGUGGGAGGCUUUGAAGUGUGGACGCCAGUCUGCAUGGAGCCGACCUUGAAAUACCACCCUUUAAUGUUUGAUGUUCUAACGUGGACCCGUUACCCGGGUUGCGGACAGUGUCUGGUGGGUAGUUUGACUGGGGCGGUCUCCUCCUAAAGAGUAACGGAGGAGCACGAAGGUUGGCUAAUCCUGGUCGGACAUCAGGAGGUUAGUGCAAUGGCAUAAGCCAGCUUGACUGCGAGCGUGACGGCGCGAGCAGGUGCGAAAGCAGGUCAUAGUGAUCCGGUGGUUCUGAAUGGAAGGGCCAUCGCUCAACGGAUAAAAGGUACUCCGGGGAUAACAGGCUGAUACCGCCCAAGAGUUCAUAUCGACGGCGGUGUUUGGCACCUCGAUGUCGGCUCAUCACAUCCUGGGGCUGAAGUAGGUCCCAAGGGUAUGGCUGUUCGCCAUUUAAAGUGGUACGCGAGCUGGGUUUAGAACGUCGUGAGACAGUUCGGUCCCUAUCUGCCGUGGGCGCUGGAGAACUGAGGGGGGCUGCUCCUAGUACGAGAGGACCGGAGUGGACGCAUCACUGGUGUUCGGGUUGUCAUGCCAAUGGCACUGCCCGGUAGCUAAAUGCGGAAGAGAUAAGUGCUGAAAGCAUCUAAGCACGAAACUUGCCCCGAGAUGAGUUCUCCCUGAGACUUAGAGUCUCCUGAAGGAACGUUGAAGACGACGACGUUGAUAGGCCGGGUGUGUAAGCGCAGCGAUGCGUUGAGCUAACCGGUAC